UGGGGAAUAUUGGACAAUGGGCGAAAGCCUGAUCCAGCCAUGCCGCGUGUAGUGAAGAAGGUCUUCGGAUUGUAAAGCACUUUAAGUUGGGAGGAAGGGCAGUAAGUUAAUACCUUGCUGUUUUGACGUUACCGACAGAAUACGCACCGGCUAACUCUGUGC
This 162-nucleotide ribosomal RNA is filed under the name uncultured bacterium. RNAcentral describes it as "partial 16S ribosomal RNA". It matches the Rfam family "Bacterial small subunit ribosomal RNA", at positions 355 to 508 of the family's 1533-position model. The record is from RNAcentral.